This 427-nucleotide ribosomal RNA is filed under the name uncultured bacterium. RNAcentral describes it as "partial 16S ribosomal RNA". It matches the Rfam family "Bacterial small subunit ribosomal RNA", at positions 354 to 796 of the family's 1533-position model. The record is from RNAcentral.
GUGAGGAAUCUUCCACAAUGGGCGAAAGCCUGAUGGAGCAACGCCGCGUGAAGGAUGAAGGUCUUCGGAUUGUAAACUUCUUUUAUGAGUGAAGAAUAUGACGGUAACUCAUGAAUAAGCCCCGGCUAACUACGUGCCAGCAGCCGCGGUCAUACGUAGGGUGCAAGCAUUAUCCGGAGUGACUGGGCGUAAAGAGUUGCGUAGGCGGUUAUGUAAGCGAAUAGUGAAACCUGGUGGCUCAACCACACAGACUAUUAUUCGAACUGCAUAACUCGAGAAUGGUAGAGGUAACUGGAAUUUCUUGUGUAGGAGUGAAAUCCGUAGAUAUAAGAAGGAACACCAAUGGCGUAGGCAGGUUACUGGGCCAUUUCUGACGCUAAGGCACGAAAGCGUGGGGAGCGAACCGGAUUAGAAACCCGAGUAGUCC